CCUGGACAGGCUUGAGAGGAGGGCCCAUGCCAGCCUCAUGAAGCUCAACAAGGGCAAGUGAAAGGCCAUUCAGGAUCCUCUGGUAAAUAAUCCUUGUUUCAUGAAGCACUGUUACAACCAAAAUCAGAUAGAAGAUCUGUACAGAGGAGCGUCUACCCAGCAACUUUUCCAACUGAAAAAGGAAAGAAAAGGCCAGCAGCACCCUGUAAGCACAAAAGUCCACCUUGUAACAGCAUCCCCACAUCUCCCCUGAGGAGCAUGGGACUGUUCCUGGCUGCCAUCAUUGACAAGACUCUAGACAAGGAUGCUAGUCCCAAACCCCUCUCAGGACUGCAUUUAUGGGUAGUUGACUUUGGAGGUAGAGAGUCUUUGGCUUGGGGUAUUUUUUCUCCUCAAGUAUACAUCUGUCUAGAUGGCCCAAAUAAUCUUACUGGUUUCCUUACCCUCAAGAAUGCAAUGACACAAGUAAUGUGAUUUCCCACCUCUUUAAGGCGUUGAUCUGAAAAAUAUCCGGGCAGGACUUUUCCUUCUACAUUGAAACCCAAUUGUGAACACAAACAGACCCAGUAAAGGGCAUUUUGAGUUUUCUGUCAUUAUGAAUGAUGAGAGAAGAUGGGCUGAUUCUUCUUAAAAAAGCAGAAGACAGGAGAAGGAGAGAAUGGGAAAGGUUGUCACCAGAAAGAUUUUCUACGAUUAAUACUCAGUGAUGCUUUUUGUCUUCUUAGCCCUUGGCUUGCAAUGAGCAGUGAUGGGGAAGCAUGAGAAUGCUUUGUGUUGGGAGAAAGACAGCCUCCUGGCUGUCUGUGCUGGCUCCUCUUCCUGGCAUGCUACCUGCAUCUGCACAUUUUCACGGGGUGAGGCUGAUGUUGGUGCCUCUUUGCAUAGCAGUAGCUGGUUGGCACAACUUUUGCUGUCUCACGAGAAAGCAGCAAAAGUGUUAAGCACAUGUUAUGGCAGCAAUGUAUAGUAGAACCUGAAACACCAACAUGCUCCAUCUAAAUAUGAACAGUAC
Molecule: long non-coding RNA, 1012 nt
Organism: Gallus gallus (chicken)
Lineage: Eukaryota; Metazoa; Chordata; Aves; Galliformes; Phasianidae
Source: Ensembl